AGAGUUUGAUCAUGGCUCAGAGCGAACGCUAGCGGCGGGCCUAACACAUGCAAGUCGAGCGCGUACCUUCGGGUACGAGCGGCGGACGGGUGAGUAACACGUAGGUAAUCUACCCUCUGGUGGGGAAUAACCCGGGGAAACCCGGGCUAAUACCGCAUAUGGCCUUCGGGUCAAAGCCUUCGGGCGCCAGAGGACGAGCCUGCGGCGCAUUACCUAGUUGGUAGGGUAAUGGCCUACCAAGGGGACGAUGCGUAGCUGGUCUGAGAGGAUGAUCAGCCACACUGGGACUGAGACACGGCCCAGACUCCUACGGGAGGCAGCAGUGGGGAAUAUUGCGCAAUGGGCGAAAGCCUGACGCAGCCACGCCGCGUGGGUGAUGAAGGCCUUCGGGUUGUAAAGCCCUGUCGGGAGGGAAGAAGUUCUGACGGUACCUCCCAAGAAAGCACCGGCUAACUCCGUGCCAGCAGCCGCGGUA
Molecule: ribosomal RNA, 475 nt
Filed under: uncultured Actinomycetes bacterium
Lineage: Bacteria; Bacillati; Actinomycetota; Actinomycetes
Description: bacterial SSU rRNA
Rfam family: Bacterial small subunit ribosomal RNA
Source: RNAcentral